RNAcentral lists this ribosomal RNA (208 nucleotides) under uncultured bacterium. RNAcentral describes it as "partial 16S ribosomal RNA". It matches the Rfam family "Bacterial small subunit ribosomal RNA", at positions 568 to 774 of the family's 1533-position model. The record is from RNAcentral.
CGCGUAGGCGGCCUGUCAAGUCAGAGGUGAAAGGCCCGGGCUCAACCCGGGAACUGCCUUUGAAACUGGCAAGCUAGAGUCCGAGAGAGGAUGGCGGAAUUCCCAGUGUAGAGGUGAAAUUCGUAGAUAUUGGGAAGAACACCGGUGGCGAAGGCGGCCAUCUGGCUCGGUACUGACGCUGAGGCGCGAAAGCGUGGGGAAGCAAACA